Molecule: long non-coding RNA, 3025 nt
Organism: Medicago truncatula (barrel medic)
Lineage: Eukaryota; Viridiplantae; Streptophyta; Magnoliopsida; Fabales; Fabaceae
Exons: 5
Source: RefSeq, a predicted model, not a curated record
ACCUCAUAAUUUUUUUCCCUUCUCUUUCUAAAAACCCAUCGUCCCCCCCCCCCUCUCACUAUUCACCAUCUUCUCCAAAUGUUUCUCCCUUUUCACUCAAAAUUACCAACAUGCAAGGUUACAGUCAUGACUUAAUUGUUAUCUCAUACUUCCAGCAAGCUCCAUUUUCCUCAUUUCUUCCCUCUAGGGCGCAGCUUUUCUCUAUUCUGCUCUUGGGGUUUAUUUCAGAAAUUGGAUCUAGAAUCUCAUGCAUGUGGUUUCUGGUGUUGAUUUUGGAACUGUUUGUGUGUUGUGUUGGUGACCAGAACCAAUUAAUUGGAGGAUGGUACAAAGUAGAGGUUUGACUGUUAAGGGAGGUAAGGGAUUAGGAAAGGAAAAUUGAUGUAGGGAUUUCGUCCAAUUCAACUUCUGAUGAAUUGAUUGGUGAAAAUAUAGAAUGUCAGUUGAUUGACCCUGCUGAUAGGACAGUAGAUAGAGACUUAUCACUCAUUCAAGAAUUGGGUUUGAAGUUUGUGUAUGCUAUAAAUACACAUGUACAUGCUGAUCAUGUUACUGGAACUGGCCUCAUCAAGGAUAGGUCCUUCAAUUUCUACAGAAGAAUGUUGAUGAAGCUUUGGGUAUGUAUGAGGUACUAAUCAAUGAAGAUUCAACAUUGAAGAUGAUGUAUGUAUGAAUAAGGAUGAAAAUUUCUGGAAAAUGGCUUUUGAAUUAGAUGGAAAAUGGCAUCUCUGUAUGUAUUUUUGCUUAUAACUGAGUUUAGAGGGAGUAGUUAGGAAAUAAUAUGCAUGAUCGUAUGAUGUGUGAUAUAAGGUGUGGAUACAUAUUGGCUGUUCAUGAAGAGUUUAGAAUGAGAAUUUUAAGUCUUUUUUAUACGCAACAUGCCUAAAAAGUUCAUCAAAUUAGUAUGCCAAAUUAGUGUUUUAUUUUAUAUACCAUGCAAAAUAUAUUAUAUAAGUUUUAUUCAUGGCCCCCCAUUUCUGCCGCCAUUGCACACACAUAUUUAUUGGGAACAUAUGCAUAGGCACUAUCAUUGGAUAAGCAUGAAAGUGUGGAGAAGUAUAUGAUUCCAUUCCAUGUUGAGUUCAAAAGUAGAUGUAUAAUUGUAUUCCCAUAUGUGCAAAGAGUGCAUGUACUUGAACGUGACACUCUUUGCUUAUCUUGGUUACAACUAUUUUAUGAGUUAUUGGGGAGAUUUAUCUGCAUGUUGUAUUCAAUUUGAGAAAGAUUUAAAGCAUUAGGCUCUUUGAUCCAAUCCAAUUAUGUGGUCACAAUAAUAACAUGAAGGUCUCUAUCAAAAUACGUAUUUAUGCCGGUUAAUUUGCCAUCUUAUGGUUAUAGUUGGAAUCUCAAUCUGAACCUUUACCAUCAGAUUAAUUGGUGUCCUUAUAUAUCAAGUCAUUCAUGAUCUUACUUUGGUUAAGAGUUCCUAAACGUUUGGGAAAUACACUAAAGAGCAUUUGGUUCUUUUCUCUAUAUAGUCAUAGUCACAGUGACUCAUUGAGAACAAAAUAGUACUCUCCUUUAACUUUCAAAAUAUGCUGCGCUUUGAAGCUUUUUGCUAAAAAUGGAACAUUCUUUGUAUAGAACCAAUUGUUGAUAUAAUCAUGUUCAGUUUCUGUCAUUAUUGGGUGAAAUUUUCGAUUUUGGCAGAAAUGAAAGUCAGUUUUGAAUUACCUUUGAUUAUCAGAGGUGGUUCUUGCAGUGUAAGCACUAACUCUUCGUACGGCAAUCACAAAUAGUUUAUUUUCUUUGAAUAAAUUUUUCAGUAUGUCACUGCACCAUAUGGUAAUGUUUUAUUUGUCUAUAAUUGAUUGAUGUUUGAAGCAUACACUUCAAUCCAACUUUUAAACCUUUACCUACUGAUGAAAACUAAACGUAGAACACACAUUAUAAUGAAAGUGGUUUGGUUUUCUAUGUGGAACUAGAAAUGUAAAGUUUUAUUAAUGGAAAGACUAAGGUGGUAUUUUGUUUUCAUUAUGACAUUAUAAUAUAACAUACAAAUCUUGGGUACUUGGUGCAUAGAUACACCAACCAUUAAGUUGGCAAUGUUCUCCAACUCUCUUCCACAACUGCAGGUCUCUGUAGAAUAUGGGUUAUAUGAAAUGAUGAGCUGGAGGGCAAUUAGGCUUGAGGUGGCUCCUAAAAAUGAAAAUUGGGGUUUCAAUAUAUCAGAGCGUGAGGCCAUGCUUUCUGCAGGGACAGUGGAUAAAAAUGUAGAAAGGGUCUAUAAAGAGGAAAAGAAAAGGAUGGAUGUCAACUGCUUGCAGAAUCACUCGAUACAGAGUGCUUAUCAUGUUGCACAAAGGUUGUUAUGCCUGAAAUAUUCCAAUCAAGUCGGGAAUACGAUUCGGCCAGCUUUGAUGAAUCUUAAGGAGUACUGCAUCAAGCAAAAGCUUUAAAAAUGGCCUAAAGGACAAUCUUUUCUUUGGGCUGAUUCUUUUCAGCAUAUGCAACUGUCAUUACUCAUCAAAUUGUUUAAUUUUGUGAACAAAUUGCAGGUGUUGCUGUUUGAAAUUUAUCAAAGUAUAAAGAAUCUUAAUUUAAAAUAAAUAUGAAAGAGAAAAAAUAAUGCUUUUAUUUUUUGGGCAGCUGGGAAACCCUGAAACUUAUGCUGAAGAUUAGUUAGGAAUGGUUGAUUAUGCUUGGAGUCAUGCAGUGAUAUAUGAUGAAACCUAUAAAACAAUCCGAAGAAGCUGUGACUUUAACAGUAGUGAUUCAUGGAAAAAUGAAGAAUGUACUAACGGUGUGGAUGAAGUGCUCAAACAGUACAAUGAAAUUGAUAUCUACAGCCUGUAUACCUCUGUCUGCUUUGCUACCUUCAUUUUCAAACUAAUGUUUGUACCACUUUUAAUUGUACAAAAGGUAGAAAAAAAAGGUCAAGAAAACAAAAGAGCUAUCAUUUUACUACAUAGAACUGACACUUAUUAGUUGUUGAUUUUUGCAGCUUUAUUCCUGAUUAAUUUUUUAGGAAUUUUAUUGUUGUACUAUAUUGAAAAAUUAAUCAUGAAGACUUUUUUAAGAGUUA